CCUACGGGGGGCAGCAGUAGGGAAUCUUUCACAAUGGGCGAAAGCCUGAUGGAGCAACGCCGCGUGCAGGAUGAAGGCCUUCGGGUUGUAAACUGCUUUUAUAAGCGAGAAAUAUGAUGGUAACUUAUGAAUAAGGAUCGGCUAACUACGUGCCAGCAGCCGCGGUCAUACGUAGGAUCCGAGCAUUAUCCGGAGUGACUGGGUGUAAAGAGUUGCGUAGGUGGCAUAGUAAGUAGCUAGUGAAAUCUGGUGGCUCAACCAUUCAGACUAUUAGCUAAACUGCUAAGCUCGAGACCGUUAGGGGUAACUGGAAUUUGUAGUGUAGGAGUGAAAUGCGUAGAUAUUAGAAGGAACACCGAUAGCGUAGGCAGGUUACUGGGACGGUUCUGACACUAAGGCACGAAAGCGUAGGGAGCAAACGGGAUUAGAUACCCCGGUAGUC
This 442-nucleotide ribosomal RNA is filed under the name uncultured bacterium. Its description in RNAcentral is "partial 16S ribosomal RNA". It matches the Rfam family "Bacterial small subunit ribosomal RNA", at positions 338 to 795 of the family's 1533-position model. The record is from RNAcentral.